UGUAUCCCUCACCCCCUUAUCUCCCCUUCUCCAGUUGCAGCCCAGCAGCUCCACAUUGGGGGAGGAGCCGCUCGUGCAUCGAGGGGCUGCCUGGCACAGUGUCCCUCCUGGGGGCCCUGCCCCCCCAGAGAACAGUCAGGGGAUCCCAUCCCCUGGGGAGGAACCUAGAGAGGAGAAUGCAGGGCCGGGGCAAGGCCCCCCUGACAUGGAGGCCUGGGAGUUGAGGGGGGAACUGCAGUCAGUGCAGCAGGAGUUGGCCCAGUGCACAGAGCAGCGGGACCAGGCAGUCACUAAGGUGAGUGCCCUGGAACGGCGGGUGCAGCAGCUGUUGGAGGAGCUGAGGGGCCAGAGGCAGAGAGCAGGGGCCACGCAGCGCCGCCUGGAGCAGCAGGAGAGGGAGCACCGGCAGGAGCUGGCGAAGCUGGAGCGGCACCAUCGGGAAGCGCUGGAGCAGCAGGUUACCCGGUUGGACAUCCCUGAGCCCCCCCACCGCCCACCAAACAAGGUGAGAGAGGUGUCGGUGCCAAGGGGCAGAAGGGACUGUUUA
This 547-nucleotide long non-coding RNA is filed under the name Chrysemys picta bellii (western painted turtle). Its description in RNAcentral is "lncRNA (ENSCPBG00000023462.1)". Lineage: Eukaryota; Metazoa; Chordata; Testudines; Emydidae. The record is from RNAcentral.